AUUGAACGCUGGCGGCAUGCCUUACACAUGCAAGUCGAACGGUAACGCGGGGCAACCUGGCGACGAGUGGCGAACGGGUGAGUAGUGUAUCGGAACGUGCCCAGUUGUGGGGGAUAACUGCUCGAAAGAGCAGCUAAUACCGCAUACGACCUGAGGGUGAAAGCGGGGGAUCGCAAGACCUCGCGCAAUUGGAGCGGCCGAUAUCAGAUUAGGUAGUUGGUGGGGGAAAGGCUAACCAAGCCAACGAUCUGUAGCUGGUCUGAGAGGACGACCAGCCACACUGGGACUGAGACACGGCCCAGACUCCUACGGGAGGCAGCAGUGGGGAAUUUUGGACAAUGGGCGCAAGCCUGAUCCAGCCAUGCCGCGUGCGGGAAGAAGGCCUUCGGGUUGCAAACCGCUUUUGUCAGGGAAGAAAAGACUCCUGUUAAUACCGGGGGUUCAUGACGGUACCUGAAGAAUAAGCACCGGCUAACUACGUGCCAGCCGCCGCCGUAA
RNAcentral lists this ribosomal RNA (498 nucleotides) under uncultured bacterium. RNAcentral's name for it is "partial 16S ribosomal RNA". It matches the Rfam family "Bacterial small subunit ribosomal RNA", at positions 29 to 523 of the family's 1533-position model. The record is from RNAcentral.